CAGUAGCCACGGUAAUACGAAGGGUGCAAGCGUUACUCGGAAUUACUGGACGUAAAGCGUGCGUAGGCGGUUCGUUAAGUCUGUUGUGAAAGCCCCGGGCUCAACCUGGGAAUGGCAAUGGAUACUGGCGAGCUAGAGUGUGUCAGAGGAUGGUGGAAUUCCCGGUGUAGCGGUGAAGUGCGUAGAGAUCGGAAGGAACAUCUGUGGCGAAGGCGGCCAUCUGGGACAACACUGGCGCUGAGGCACGAAAGCGUGGGGAGCAAACAGGAUUAGAUACCCCCGUAGUCCCUGUCUCUUAUAC
RNAcentral lists this ribosomal RNA (301 nucleotides) under uncultured bacterium. Its description in RNAcentral is "partial 16S ribosomal RNA". It matches the Rfam family "Bacterial small subunit ribosomal RNA", at positions 509 to 807 of the family's 1533-position model. The record is from RNAcentral.